RNAcentral lists this ribosomal RNA (440 nucleotides) under Blastocystis sp. subtype 1. RNAcentral describes it as "SSU rRNA". It matches the Rfam family "Eukaryotic small subunit ribosomal RNA", at positions 477 to 933 of the family's 1831-position model. Lineage: Eukaryota; Bigyra; Opalinata; Blastocystidae. The record is from RNAcentral.
ACAAUGCGGGACUAUACGUCUUGCAAUUGGAUUGAGAACAAUGUACAACUCUUAUCGAUAAGCCAUUGGAGGGCAAGUCUGGUGCCAGCAGCCGCGGUAAUUCCAGCUCCAAUAGCGUAUAUUAACGUUGUUGCAGUUAAAAAGCUCGUAGUUGAAGUGUGGGUGAUCGCUGUUGUGUGACUUCGGUCUCUCGACAGUAAGUCACCCCCUUCCAGUAUCCAGUAGUGGGUAUUCAGUUACUUACUAUUGUGUGUUGGUCGUUUACUGUGAGAAAAUUAGAGUGUUCAAAGCAGGCGUUUGCUUGAAUAGAUUAGCAUGGAAUAAUAAUUGAAGGCUUUCGUGUUCGAUUUGAUUGGUUUGUUCAUGGAAGCAAGGUUAAAAGGAACAGUUGGGGGUAUUCAUAUUCACUAGUUAGAGGUGAAAUUCUCGGAUUUAUGGAA